AAACUUGUCCUGACAAAGAUAAGACGAUUUUCUAAUGUAAGAGUGAUGCCAUACGAGAAAGAAAGGCGGACAUGGAAAGAAAUGAAGAAAGGAAAUACAAUCAUCUGGCCAGUUGAAGAUGUGUGUCCUCUGGCAUCAUUUCAAGAGAGCAUAACUGCUGAGAUGAAAAUGAGGAAAAAAACCCAAAGGAAUGAGAG
This is a long non-coding RNA of Mizuhopecten yessoensis (Yesso scallop), 197 nucleotides long. RefSeq lists it as uncharacterized. NCBI's taxonomy places the organism in Eukaryota, Metazoa, Mollusca, Bivalvia, Pectinida, Pectinidae. The transcript is spliced from 3 exons. The record is from RefSeq and is a predicted model, not a curated record.